This 255-nucleotide ribosomal RNA is filed under the name uncultured bacterium. Its description in RNAcentral is "partial 16S ribosomal RNA". It matches the Rfam family "Bacterial small subunit ribosomal RNA", at positions 524 to 776 of the family's 1533-position model. The record is from RNAcentral.
UACGUAGGGUGCAAGCGUUUAAUCGGAAUUACUGGGCGUAAAGCGUGCGCAGGCGGUUGUGCAAGACAGAUGUGAAAUCCCCGGGCUUAACCUGGGAACUGCAUUUGUGACUGCACGGCUAGAGUGUGUCAGAGGGGGGUAGAAUUCCACGUGUAGCAGUGAAAUGCGUAGAUAUGUGGAGGAAUACCGAUGGCGAAGGCAGCCCCCUGGGAUAACACUGACGCUCAUGCACGAAAGCGUGGGGGAGCAAACAGG